GGGUGCCCCCUUUGGCAGACAAGACUAUUUAGGUAGGGGCAACUUACAUACUGUGCGAAAUGGACCAAACGAGACAUGUGAUAUGAAGAAGUUUGUAGCAACUCCCAUCUCUCAUUGGCAGAAUGCAACUUCAGUUGGGCCAAAUGCUGUCAGAGAAAUUAUUGUAAUUGAUGAUUCUCCAGAAAACGAGGCUAAUUCUCCAUACACCAUGAACUCAGGGAAAAUGCAGAUUAGCUCAGGCUAUACCUCAAGGUUUGUGGAUCUCUGUGAAAAUAGACCGCGUGGUGAAACUGGAGCAGCUCAGAAUGCAAAUUUGCUUACUCAAGUGAAUGAGCUUCCUGCU
Molecule: unclassified non-coding RNA, 343 nt
Filed under: Hevea brasiliensis (rubber tree)
Lineage: Eukaryota; Viridiplantae; Streptophyta; Magnoliopsida; Malpighiales; Euphorbiaceae
Source: RNAcentral